This 1588-nucleotide long non-coding RNA is filed under the name Homo sapiens (human). RNAcentral describes it as "HSALNT0341883". The record is from RNAcentral. Lineage: Eukaryota; Metazoa; Chordata; Mammalia; Primates; Hominidae.
UGUCUAAAACACCAAAUUUUAUAAAUUUUAAAUAAACAUAAUUUAAAUAGCUACAUGUGGCUGGUGUCUACCAUAUUUAGAGAGUACAGGUCUAUUCCAAGGAACAGAAUUAUUAGAUAAUCAGGUAUGCAUAUUUAAGCAUUACUAGCUAAUGUAGAAUUGCUCUCCAGAAUAGACUCCAAUGUUUGUUUUCAACUGCCUGUAAUAUGCAAUGAUCUAUUUCCCCAUCUCCUUGGCUAUAUACUUAGUUUUAUUAGUUUAUACAUUUUUUAGAUAAUUUGAUGAGUAUAAAAUUGUAUCUCAUUAACGGUUGAUUUGUAAUUCCCUUUGUGGUGCUGUAAUACUCAUACAUCUAUCAAGGACUCUUUUUUCCUCCCUUUAAAAUUAUCUACUUAUUUUUUCUUUGUAAGCGUCAUCUUUUUUUCAUUGUGGGAGUUCUUCAUAAACUUGUCAUUUUACUUGAUAAAAGGUCAUACUUAAAAGUCUGAGGCUUCUCAUUCACUUGAAUCUGUAGUCUUUUGUUACAUAGUUGUUUAAAUUUUUGAUACAUAUCUAUAUUUUCCCUCAUUGUUUCAAGUGUUAGUGCCUUUCCUAAGGAACCUUUUCUUAUUAUGAUGUCACAAAUGUAUUCUGCUAUGUCUACUGGGAGAAUACACUAGUGGGGAUAGUUCUGUGUAUACAGUGAUUAAGCACAUAGGUUCUGGAGCCAGUCUGUUUCUUUCAAAAUCACCUCAUUGCUUUUGAAGAAUCAGGGAAACCCCCAUGAGACUACAGGUGUGAAGCAAGAUAGAAGCAUCAGUGCAAAAGAGUCUCUUCCAGGGUAAAGGAUGGACUUUGGUGUGUUCUCUUUUGUACAUGCCUCAGUGAGAUGCACAAAGCACAACUUGGUCAGAUUCACAGAGGCUCUUGUCUCCUCUAACUCUUCCUGACUCAGGUGAAAAAUCACCUCACGCAAUCUGGUUUACCCAAGUAAAGGCCUGGGUAACAGAACCUAGAAGCCUGGGAAAGAUAAUACACUGUAGUGAACCAGAGAUAGACAAAAGAAUGAACAAUUAAUCCCUUUCAUUUUCGCUGCCUGUGAAACUGUUCAAGAUGGGGUGGGCUUAUACAUCCUGUCCGAAAAAUGAGCCUUAUGACCUUGAAACUGGCUGUGUUAUAUUUUUGAAGCUGUGGCCAGUUGGAUAAUGUAUCAAUUUGUAUUUUCUCUUCUGCUCUGCCUUGCCUCACUUUUUCCUUUCCUUUCAUUUCAUUUCCUUUUUCCCAGUACUGCAUUUCCAAAUAAAGCCACUCACAAUCUUUAAUCAGGCUGUAAAUUUUAAGAAAUCUGGACCAAGACAGUUUGCUCCAAGAGUAUCCCACAAAUGCAGAUCUUCAGAGUGAGAUUUUAUUAUUGGAUUGCUCACCUGUCUGUUGGUAAGUGAGAUGACAAUAACAAAGUGAAGAUGAUAAUAACUUGACAUGCAGUGGUACCACAAUUGUUAAACACUGGCCUAUGGUUAAUUGUGAACAAGGCUUGGGGAAAUCAAAUGGGUACAUCAUUUGAUCACUGUGGAGACAAUGAUACUUAUGAAGAUUGUAAUUUCAGAUG